Molecule: transfer RNA, 65 nt
Filed under: Tenebrionoidea sp. 17 KM-2017
Lineage: Eukaryota; Metazoa; Arthropoda; Insecta; Coleoptera
Description: tRNA-Pro
Source: RNAcentral
CAGGAAAUAGUUUAUUAAUAAAAUAUUAGUUUUGGAGACUAAUGAAAAGUUGUUCUUUUUUCUGA